CUCAUAGAGGCGGAGCCGCGCGGAAGCCAGUACUCAAUAAAGUAGGGCUACAAGGCUGUCUCCUUUUCCGGAGAAACCGAACCGGUUCAGUUUACACUUCAUGCUGAUCCUAGAAGAUAAGCUCCUCUCAUUAUGUCCCUCUUCGUAUUGAUCCCGUGGAGCCAUCUAUCAGAAGGAACCCACCUAUGGUACCGCCCAUUAAAUGGACAACUUGGGGCUGACGCCAGGAAGAGGGCGGCUGGAGAGAGUGGAUACAGAGGCAGGGAGCUUUUAAGGAUUACAUGAAAGAUGGUCUCAGACUUUUGGACCCCACUGUAUUUACUUUUUUGGAUUCAGGAAUCAGCGUAGCGGCUCAGCACAGGUGUCAUACCUGAGUUACAAGGCACCACUUAAGCUCUUUGCUAGAGGGAUUGCGUAGCUCACCGUGGUUUUGAGGAUCUUUGCCGGAGCUGGACUUAGCGGAACUAGCUGUUGAAGAAGAUCUCCCACACGGCAGUUCAUGAGUCAGCAUCUGCAUGUACAUCUUAGCACUGUGGGCCUUUUGUGUUUGCAUUUGCAGAUUUUUAGUCGACAGCUUUUGUGUGUAAGGAAGCGAUAAACAAUGUGAACUUUGGACCAACGGUCGAUAACACUGUUAGAUGAGGUCACAAGUGGGGCGGACCCCACAGUUUUGUUUUCCUGAAAUGAAACUAUACUCCCCCUGCCCUUGGUGCUGCAAGCACUAAAUGUAAAUAGGUUUGAGGGUGUGUAUUAAGCCUGACGCCCCCACACAAUAUGCUUUUCAAAGAGAAAAAAAACAUUUGACAAGGGGAGGGGUGUUUUCAAGUAUCAAAUGCAGGGCAAUAUGUCUUCUUGUUUCGCUUUAGGAAAAGUCGUGCUGCAUUGCCACAUCAGAAUCAGCAGCCUCCAGAGCCAUAACUAUAGAUAGAAAAAAAUCAUCUAGCAAAUGUCAAAGUGAAUGUGCCUGUCAGAAGAGUGAUAACAGGUUAUUCCAGUCCCUGCCACAGUGGAACUAUGGUGAAUGUUUAUUGUAAAUUUGCUUGGUUGACACCCUUAUUUGAAAGCUUGUAUUCUUGCAUCGUUUAUGUAAGCCAAUAUGUAUACACUUUAUUUGGUAAACCUGUACAACAUUGUUAAUGCAAAUAUGUAAUCAGUCAAACAUGUGGCAACAACUAACUGCAUAAAAUCAUGCAGACUAGGUCAAGAGGCUCAGCUGUUUUUCAGACAAAAUGUCAGAAUGGGGAAGAAAUGUGAUCUAAGUGACUUUGACUGUGGCAUAAUUGUGCCAGACAGGGUGGUUUGAGUAUCUCAGAAACUGAUCUGGGAUUUUCACAUACAACAGUCUCUAGAUUUUGCAGAGAAUAGUGUGAAGAACAAAAAACAACCAGUGAGCAGCAGUUCUGUGGGCAGAAAUACGUUGUUAAUGAGAGAGGCCAGAGGAGAACGGCCAGACUGGUCGUAGCUGACAGGAAGUUGGCAGUAACGCAAAUAACCAUGCAUUACAACAGUGGUAUGCAGAAGAGCAUUUCUGAACAGACAAUGUGUCAAACCACUAAGUUGACAGACAACAGCAGCAAAAGACUAAAUAAGCCUAAAAAAUAUGUCUAAUAAAUACAGAAUAAAGCCAUUCCUGGGCACAGCUGACACUG
Molecule: long non-coding RNA, 1649 nt
Organism: Conger conger (European conger)
Lineage: Eukaryota; Metazoa; Chordata; Actinopteri; Anguilliformes; Congridae
Exons: 5
Source: RefSeq, a predicted model, not a curated record